Molecule: small nuclear RNA, 157 nt
Filed under: Exophiala sideris
Lineage: Eukaryota; Fungi; Ascomycota; Eurotiomycetes; Chaetothyriales; Herpotrichiellaceae
Source: RNAcentral
GUCCCUUCGGGGACAUUUGGUCAAUUUGAAACGAUACAGAGAAGGUUCGCAUUCCUAUCCUUCGACUGCCACAAGACAAUUGCUAAUUUGAUUUAUAGAUUAGCAUGGCCCCUGCACUAAGGAUGACACGCUUCUCAAAGAGUGCUACAAGUUUUUU